AGUGAACGCUGGCGGUAGGCCUAACACAUGCAAGUCGAACGGCAGCACAGCAGUAGCAAUACUGUGGGUGGCGAGUGGCGGACGGGUGAGGAAUACAUCGGAAUCUACCUUUUCGUGGGGGAUAACGUAGGGAAACUUACGCUAAUACCGCAUACGACCUUAGGGUGAAAGCGGAGGACCUUCGGGCUUCGCGCGGAUAGAUGAGCCGAUGUCGGAUUAGCUAGUUGGCGGGGAAAGGCCCACCAAGGCUACGAUCCGUAGCUGGUCUGAGAGGAUGAUCAGCCACACUGGAACUGAGACACGGUCCAGACUCCUACGGGAGGCAGCAGUGGGGAAUAUUGGACAAUGGGCGCAAGCCUGAUUCA
RNAcentral lists this ribosomal RNA (365 nucleotides) under uncultured bacterium. Its description in RNAcentral is "bacterial SSU rRNA". It matches the Rfam family "Bacterial small subunit ribosomal RNA", at positions 29 to 390 of the family's 1533-position model. The record is from RNAcentral.